UGAGGAAUAUUGGGCAAUGGAGGCAACUCUGACCCAGCCAUGCCGCGUGCAGGAAGACGGCCCUAUGGGUUGUAAACUGCUUUUAUAUGGGAAGAAACUUAUCCACGUGUGGAUAACUGACGGUACCAUAAGA
This 133-nucleotide ribosomal RNA is filed under the name uncultured bacterium. RNAcentral describes it as "partial 16S ribosomal RNA". It matches the Rfam family "Bacterial small subunit ribosomal RNA", at positions 355 to 485 of the family's 1533-position model. The record is from RNAcentral.